ACGUUAACUUUCAUGGUGGUUGGUUACGAUGAUACUUUUAAUGAAUCAAAUAUAUCUAAUUAGGUAGGCCCGCCCUACGGGCGGGUAAAUAAAUGAACAAAUAAUAUAAAUUGAUUUAAAAUGUUUAACUUAUUCUUAACUAAAAUUAAAAUUAAUUUUCAGGUUUUUUUAAAACAAUUUAUCGAUUUAUUUGACAAUUUAUUUUAAAACUAUAAACUUUUUAAUUAUAAUUUUUUUUAUAAAAUAUUAUUAUUUUGCGUUAUUUUAAUGUUUGUUUUAGUUUAUCUGUAGUAAUAGUUAGAAUUAGUUUUAAAAAUUACUCGAUGAGUUUACCAAAGUUAUAAGUAAUAAGUAGUGCGAAGUUUGAUCCAUUCUAACUGCAUCUAUAUUUAAGUUAGAUAGACUACAGAAAAAUUUGCUAGUGAUCAUUACUAUUUGAAAUUAUACAUUUUUUGAGUCUUAAAUACAUUACUAUUGUGUUUGAAAAUAAAACUAUCAGGUAAUCUAAGAAACUCAUGAUUAGAAUUUUAUAAAUAAAUGGUACUUGGCAAUUAGCAUAGUAUAAUUUAUGUGCAUACUCAACGUAACAAUAUAUCAGAUAACGUAAUUACCUUUUAGUUAGAUGAUACCUUCCAUAGCAUGACUUGCAGAGACGCCGAUGUUUCCUCAGUUGAUCUCAGUUCAAGUCUUUCAACAUCAGAUUCAAUCAUGUGAAAAAGUUUUUGUGAUAUAUAUUAUGAUUGUGAGCAAUGAAAUUUUGAAUUCAUGGAUGCAAUCUAAGCCAUUUAUAAUUGCAGAUUUACUAUCUCGAAGAAAGGAGGAUGCAAUGAAUGUGAAAACGUGAAAGGAAUGGGGACAUGAAAUUAAUGACGGUGUUGCAUCUGAAUGUGUCUUAAAUCUCCGUGCUCCGGUAAAAGUCCAGCAUUCGUUGGGUUGGAUUUUGAGGUACGAUAAAUCUUAUAGGAUUAGAAAAAUUUAUUUUUUCUAGAUAAUUAUGUAUUUCUAAAAGGAUAAAUAAAUCGGGUUUUGGAACUGCUAUAGAUAUGGGUCUAAGAGUUGUAAAGUUAUUAUUCACAUAAUAAUAAAAAAAUCCUAAACGGAUAUUUGCCUUAAUAUAUUUUUGCUCUCUUUUGCUUUCUUCGAGUUGAUUCGCGUUUGUUCACAGCAGACGGUGAAUCAAUGCUACUUGUAUGGUUCCAGGGUGAAGAAUAACUAACGAAACGACAUAACAUGAAAAUGACAUAUAGCUUACUCACGAAGACUUGGCUCUACGCCCUCUUCGAGCCUUCAUUGAUGGCAAACAUAAUCAGAAUUUGCAGGAGAGGAUAAACCGAAGAAUGUAUUGCAGCUUCUCGUAACGAAGGUGAAAGUGAUUCUGUGGGCCAAACUUUUGUUGGGUUUCAGCAUAAAUUAUGAUAUCAAAAGAAUCCAUACUUUAUUCAUUUGUGAGAUCCCGUUAAACCAAAUGGAAGAAAUCAAAAUUCUACCAGAACAUGAUGUGUGACACUUUUUCCUUUCACUAUUACGUCAGUCUGAGAAGUGAGUAAAUAUGUCUUUUAUAUAGUAAGAUAUAUAACAACAACUUAUAUAAUUUCAACGAAAAGAGUAAUCGAGGUUCUCAUACUGAUUUUUGCUACAUCUUUCCCGGAAAAGUAGACAGUUGCCCUCUAUUUCUUUUUUGUUCAAAGAUUUGUAAGAAAUUCUUGUUGUUCAAAGAUAUUGGUAAGGAAUAGUACUUUUUAUCGGUAUAUAUAAAAAACAAAUUCAUAACCAAUAAUUUAAAAUGGACUGAUUUAACAAAUAAUCAUUAUAGUAUAUGUUUGACAAAAAAAAAAAAGUGGAAAAGUGUAGCCUGUUUUUGGGCUUCUCUCUUGAAUUGAUGUUGACAAUUUUUUUUUUACAAAAUUGGUCUUACAUUUUGAAAUAGGCUUUUUGUUACAUGGGCCUGUUGUUUAGGUUUUUUGUAUGUUUGAAGUUUGAGCUGUGGAUUUUCUUACAGCCGUUUAACGUGUUGUGAAAGCAAUUUCUGUCUCGUCUCUCGUCCCCACCGCCUAAGCAAAUGUCACCGCCACAGUCUCUUUGGAUGGGAAGGAGAGGUUCUCAGGGUCUCUCGCUUAUGUCUACGUCUUCUUCCCAUUUCUAUGUUCUCUCCGUCUCAUAAUGUUUUAUGUUGCUGUCUCUAUCAAAGAUCUCUGGAGUUUCGGUGUGUUAUCGGAGUCCAUCUUGCCAUAGGAGUCGAAGAUAUAACUCGGGUCUUUAGAUCUCGUGUCUGGUGUAUAGAUAUGUAGAUCGUGUCAAAUAUGGCGGUAGUCUUCUUUGGAUUAGUCCACCGACAGUUUCCAACAUCUGGUGUAGGUGGCCUUCUUGGACCCAAUUCUUGUUGUGGUAACAGCUCUGAUUUGGUUGUGCGGUGGCUUGCUUCCUGUUAGUUUCUGUGGAGAAAAGACCGAGUUCAAGAAGCUGGUUCGAGUAUUUUUGAAGCAACGCAGCGUGUAUUUCAAGUAGUGGGUUAAAAGGCUUUAACCAGCUUUGGACACUACUUUUCACAUCGCAAAGCAAGCCGGUUAAGAGGCUUUAAAUCUUGCUUUUCUUGCUUUCUUAGAGACUUCCAAAAAAGUAGAAUAAGAAUUGAAAAAGCUCUGGUUUUUCUAUUUUUCUAAGAAGACGUGGGGCAACAUACAACAAAAGCGAUGGAAGAUGCUAAGGCCAUCGCUUCAUCGGCGUUUUUUGCUCACCUUCUGCUCCCUCAUGUUUACUCUGCAGUAUCUUUCCACCGAAUCUCUUGUGUCUUUUUUGUAAAGUCCAAUAAUAUGAUUCGUAGCCCAUAAAUUAAAGAGACGGUAAAGCCCGUUAA
This is a long non-coding RNA of Brassica napus (rape), 2854 nucleotides long. RefSeq lists it as uncharacterized. The record is from RefSeq and is a predicted model, not a curated record. NCBI's taxonomy places the organism in Eukaryota, Viridiplantae, Streptophyta, Magnoliopsida, Brassicales, Brassicaceae. The transcript has 2 exons.